Non-coding RNA from Camellia sinensis, 799 nucleotides. Lineage: Eukaryota; Viridiplantae; Streptophyta; Magnoliopsida; Ericales; Theaceae. The record is from RefSeq and is a predicted model, not a curated record.
CAGGGUCCCAAUUAACAACUGCUUAAAAUUACUGAAAAUUUGAGACAACUUUAAGUUGCUUUAGAGCACAUGGAGAUCGCUUUGAACUCAAAUGUGCACAAUGAGCUAUAUCGUUUAAAUUGCUGAAUUUAUUACAUUGGUUGGUUGUAUUGAUCUGAUGUGGGCAUAUUUUCAGAUCACCGGAGUGUGAAGGCGAUCCAAAGGAAGACGACUGGGACAGGCCAGAUGAGGUACCUCCGCAACGUACCUCGCAGAUUCAAGAGUAGUUUCAGAGAAGUUAUUUAACCGGGAACUUACUAAGUGGACCCGUGCCUGAUUGGAUUUUGCAAAAUGGAGAAAACAUUGAUCUUUCCUAGAACAACUUUAGCUCGUUGGGCCCAAGUUGUCAACAAAGGACUGCGUAAGAUUACUUUCAACUUAGAAUUAUUAUCAUUUCUCCAAAAUCUUCUCUGAACUUUUCUUUCUCUGUAUUUUUAUAUCGGAACUUAUUUGAAAGCUCUUCAAUGGGUAAUACAUCUGGUAUUGUGUCCUGCUUGAGAAGCUUUCAGUGCCCACAAAGUAAGUUAAAUUUUUUUUUUCCCUUUGCAUUGCUAUUUGAUUUGAUUUCUCUGGUCAUUUAUACUGUCGUGAACUAUAUAGAAAAGCUUUAAGUAGCAUAGGCACAGACAAGGGACACACAUGACAAAACAUGAAUAUGGCACAUGAAAAAUCCUAAAACAGUAAAAUACGGACACAGAAAGGACACAAAAAGUAUAAUAUAUAUUUAGAUAAUAUUAAAAUAAUAUAUAUUUUUAGAUAA